Molecule: long non-coding RNA, 2945 nt
Organism: Pipra filicauda (Wire-tailed manakin)
Lineage: Eukaryota; Metazoa; Chordata; Aves; Passeriformes; Pipridae
Exons: 6
Source: RefSeq, a predicted model, not a curated record
GGAUGCCCAGGACCAUAUCCAGAUGACUUUUGAAAUCUCCAAGGAUGAAGAUUCCACAACUUGGCAACCUGUUCUGGUGACUGAAAUUAGUGAGCAAUUGAGCCUUGUAAAUCGUGUUUGAAAGUGCUGGAUGAACUCAAGGAUCCAAACCUGUUUGACCAAGGGGAUUUUCAAAUGAUUUUUAUUUUCGGUAAACACAGGAGAACAGGAGAAAUGCGAGAAGGGACGGAUGGUAAAGAUGUGGUUUAAACCUGAGUUUGCCUGGAUGAAUUUGAUACCCUGACAGUAAAAGAAAAAGAAAUAGGAAGAUGGGAGGAGACACAACCAGGAGAGCUGACCCCAACUGACCAAAGGAACAUUCCACACCAUAUGACAUCAUGCUCAGCAUAUCAGACUGGGGAGAAAAAGUGGGAGAAGUUUGGAGUGACGACGUUUGUCUUCCUGGAGAAGACAGGAAGGCCAAGAGUUCGCUUGAAAGGAAACCAGAAGAAAACUGAAACCUGAUCUAUGGUCUCCUUAUCCCCUGCUAGAAUAUAUGGCCACCACAGCUGAACUGGUCAUCUUGGCAUCUUCCCAAACAAGUUAGAGACUUAUGAACUAAAUGUCUCUGUACUUAAACCCUUUAAGGACUUUUAUCGCUAGAGGUGUUCGGACCUUGUUUUUAUGGGCAAGGAACUGAAGAGCAUCAACAACCAUUUUCACGCAAAGAUAUGGCCUCCAUUAAAGAACUCUGGCUGCUGAUAAAAUGACAAUCAUAACACACUAAGUUCUGGAGGACUGACAUCUGGCUCCUUGGCAGACACCUCAGGCAACUGCAGUAAUGACUUUGGAGAUGGCUGUGUAUCUGUAAUAGAGUUUUUUGUCUGGAUUGUAUUAACCUCUUACUCUCUAAGACAUUUUGUCCUAUAGCUCAUAUUGGAAUUACUGAACCACUCAUAACCCUGACUUACAAGUGUUUUCUUGUGUUUCAAUCUGCUACUGUGUGUUGGUUUUGCUGUUUGGGUUUGCCCCCCUCCCAGGAAGCCGUAAGCAUACUUUGCAAAAACUUCAAAAGGAAGAUUUUGUCAACUGGAAUUGUAUUUUUAAUGCUUGAUAAAACUGAAGAUUUUAGACAACACUUACUGCUUCUUAAGAAAAGGUGCUAUAAAGGAAGUGCAUACCUACUGAAUGCUUAGAAUUGAGAACUGCACCUCAAACUCAUUUGUAUGAAACAACGAUUCUAAUUAUAAAAGUUAAAAAAGAAAAAAUAAAUAUUUCUUGUAAGAUGAGUGUGUAUGAAAGUAUAAGGGCAAGUGUAGCAGGGAAGGAUGCUGAAACUGAAACCAUACACUGUUGAGAGUUCAACGAAAACAAUAUUUAUUAUGAAGAGGUGACCAACAAAACGAAAACCCGAGAGAGAGGAAGGAGGAGGAAAAUUAGCCCUCAGUACAGCUCCCCAUCUCACCCAGACAUUGCUUAUGAAGUUUUUUUACUGACUCCAGAAUGCCUAGAAUUACCCAUAGCAGAAGCUGCAUUCUUGGAGUGUCGGCAGGCUCACAAGAUAGCGGGCGUCCCCACAAGAGGCAACGUUGUCCUUUGAUGUGAAGCUUGUGGUCACUCCCAGCACGAGCUAUCUGCUUAUUAUGCAAUUAAUUGCUGACAUCUACCUGGGUAGGUAUGGCCAGCACUGCCCAGAUAGAGGCCUUCAGUGCUUCCCCCCAUUAUGUAAGUGGUAUCUCUCCUGAGCAUGCGUGGGUACUCUGGAAUGUCCCCGCAUCUGCAUGCUGCACCUCAGGGGGUCUUUCCUAAAAGAGUCUGGGGGCUUACUUCAUCCUCCUCCUCUUCACUUUCUUCUACAAAUGCCCUUGAAAGGCCAUCAGCCAGCAGGAAGGUACCAAUUAAAUAUAGUUUAUACAAAAUACUCCCUUCAAGGACAAAAGUUCUCGUUUAUCAGUACUUGUUUUCCUCUAACUUGGCAGGAAAAGAAUAAACUCUUACAGGUGGCUGGACCAACCACAAACCGAAAAAUAGCAGCAUCUAAUUAAGUAUGAAUACAGCAAGCAUAGCACACAGUAUUUUUAACUUGGAGCUGAAACAUUCUUGAAUGUUUUUAGGUCAAAAUAUUUGCCAAAUUAAUAGGGAAUGAAUGGAAAAUGUACUGUCUUCACUUUUUUGAGGUAUAUAGUAAAAUCUGUGUGAUCUAUUAAAUGUCAGUUAGAAGAUAUCUGAAAUCCUGUAUUUUGAAAUAAAAUCACUUUUUAACUCUCUUAGGUUUCAUUGUAGCUGACUGAUCCACGUCAUGUAUAAAACCUAGAAACACUGACUGGAUGCAUUUAUUUCCUGGAGAAGAAUUGUAGAUACCUUGGACAGAUCUUCUUAGUGUAUGAGAAUCAUCUAUAUGGCAUAAGAGACAACUAAUUUCGUAUUUACAGCCAUUCUGAAAUUUAAAUUCUUUAACUUUCCUUGCCCAUAUACAACUAAUGUUUCAAAUGUAGUCAGCAGGUACAACCCCUAGGCAACAGUACCAUCUUCUGUACUGUUUAUGAGGUGAUUGACCUUCAGAAACCUGAACUUUGUAGAAAGAGGCACAGCACAGCACCUAUGCAGACAGAUAGCAACAGACACAGUGUGAUAACUAAGACACAGGACCACGAAGAGAUAGCUAAAUGUCUUUCUUUCGAUCUAAGAAGCACUAUGAAGCUAAAAAGCAAUCUGCCCCCAGAUUAUAUCUUCUAGAAAUUAUAUGAUAGCACUGUGCUUCAGCCAUUUUAAUUUAUGAACAUGAAAAUUCUAUUUUAUCGGGGGAGAAGUGACAUAUUAUACAACUGGUAAUGCAGCUUUCUUGUUACCUUAAGACUUACACUCUCUAGGAUUUCACCUUCACCAAGAAAAUAGCUAGCAGAGAUCACAGCACAACAGAAUAUGCUGAGUUGGAAGGCAUCCACAGGGAUCAUCAAGUCCAGCCC